Bos taurus (domestic cattle) is the source of this 646-nucleotide long non-coding RNA. NCBI's taxonomy places the organism in Eukaryota, Metazoa, Chordata, Mammalia, Artiodactyla, Bovidae. The record is from Ensembl.
GGUCUCUUUCUUACUUGGUGUACUCCCAGAGGCUGAAAAGUGAGGCUGGUUUGUUUUAGGAAUAAUGUGAGCUUUUUCCUCUGGCCAUUCACUCAGCUCCACUAAAUCUUUCUGUAGCAUGGCUGGUGCAGGGAGCUGCUGAAAACAGGUGGUGCUUACAGAAAUGCUUCGAGCCACUGGGGAAAAUCUCAGGUUCUCCUUCUCAAGCAAUUAGAUAUCCUGCAACUUGAGCUAGCUCUUUUACCUGGGGCUAUAGGGGUGUCUUCUAGUCUGGCCCUUUAUCCCCAUCUUGUCAGUGACUAGAGUUCUCAACAAUGAGAAUGGCUAACUGGUUAAGAGGAAGACAUUUGUACACAUGAAUAGGACCCUAAAACCACAUGGGGAGAAAUUAGUGGGGAGAAACUUUUAAAAGAGAAUUGAAUCAGAACACAUUCUGUGGAUUUUCAGAACUGAGGCUAACAGCAUUCCAAAGGAAGACCAGUAAAAAGCCCACCAGUGAUCUGAAUUGAGGUGAUCAUCCAAGAUACAAGACUGUGAGUGUUUGGAACAAGCAUACUUGCACACUGGCACAGUGGUCCUGGGGAAAGGGGCACAGACAGACUUCCACUGUAUUCUUUAGACGACCCAGCAAUACCACUCUCUAAUG